Molecule: non-coding RNA, 122 nt
Organism: Acanthosepion pharaonis
Lineage: Eukaryota; Metazoa; Mollusca; Cephalopoda; Sepiida; Sepiidae
Source: the annotation of a GenBank genome assembly
UUACGGUCAAAUCACGCUGAAAAACACCGGUUCUCGUUCGAUCACCGAAGUUAAGCAUCGUAGAGCCAGGUCAGUACUUAGUACUUAGAUGGGGACCGCUUGGGAACACCUGGUACUGUAAG